UGUGAGUGAAUGGAGGGUUGUUAAGCCAC
RNAcentral lists this non-coding RNA (29 nucleotides) under Rattus norvegicus (Norway rat). The record is from RNAcentral. Lineage: Eukaryota; Metazoa; Chordata; Mammalia; Rodentia; Muridae.